This 336-nucleotide ribosomal RNA is filed under the name uncultured bacterium. Its description in RNAcentral is "bacterial SSU rRNA". It matches the Rfam family "Bacterial small subunit ribosomal RNA", at positions 970 to 1305 of the family's 1533-position model. The record is from RNAcentral.
CUUACCAGGCCUUGACAUGCAAUGAACUUUCCAGAGAUGGAUUGGUGCCUUCGGGAACAUUGAGACAGGUGCUGCAUGGCAGUCGUCAGCUCGUGUCGUGAGAUGUUGGGUUAAGUCCCGUAACGAGCGCAACCCUUGUCGUUAGUUGCCAGCACGUUAUGGUGGGCACUCUAAGGAGACUGCCGGUGACAAACCGGAGGAAGGUGGGGAUGACGUCAAGUCAUCAUGGCCCUUACGGCUUGGGCUACACACGUGCUACAAUGGUCGGUACAGAGGGUUGCCUAGCCGCGAGGUGGAGCUAAUCCCAAAAAACCGAUUGUAGUCCGGAUCGCAGUC